UGUAUUUGUGUUUGUGUAUGUGAAGAAACAAUGGGCCUCAUUAACCAAUAUCUUCCUAAGAAUUUUCUUAACUGUGUUCUUAAGAAGGUCCUACGAAAAC
This is a long non-coding RNA of Alosa sapidissima (American shad), 100 nucleotides long. RefSeq lists it as uncharacterized. NCBI's taxonomy places the organism in Eukaryota, Metazoa, Chordata, Actinopteri, Clupeiformes, Clupeidae. The transcript is spliced from 3 exons. The record is from RefSeq and is a predicted model, not a curated record.